Molecule: long non-coding RNA, 259 nt
Organism: Poecilia latipinna (sailfin molly)
Lineage: Eukaryota; Metazoa; Chordata; Actinopteri; Cyprinodontiformes; Poeciliidae
Exons: 3
Source: RefSeq, a predicted model, not a curated record
UUUUCAGACACUGAGGAGUCUUUCUUUUCAACGAGGAUGGGGAGUGGUGGUCUUGGGCAUCAAUGGGUAAUAAAUCCACGGCGUCACAAGGGAAACUCAAAGUUAUAGCCAGACUUAUAGUCACAGGGACAUCUGAAAAGAAUCCAGACGACAGAAAGCAUUAGUUCAGUUCAACUGAAAACACAACUUGAUCACAGGAGGGCUCAGAGUUACCAUAACUGGCUAACACUCAAGCGUCGGUAUUCUUCUUCUUCUUCUU